AUGGCUCAGGAUGAACGCUAGCUACAGGCUUAACACAUGCAAGUCGAGGGGCAGCAUGUGGUUGCUUGCAACCAAUGAUGGCGACCGGCGCACGGGUGAGUAACGCGUAUCCAACCUUCCCCUUAGUAGAGGAUAGCCCGGCGAAAGUCGGAUUAAUACUCUAUGUUCUUCAAUGCGGGCAUCUAAGUUGAAGCAAAGAUUUAUCGCUAAGGGAUGGGGAUGCGUCUGAUUAGGUUGCAGGCGGGGUAACGGCCCACCUGGCCUACGAUCAGUAGGGGUUCUGAGAGGAAGGUCCCCCACACUGGUACUGAGACACGGACCAGACUCCUACGGGAGGCAGCAGUGAGGAAUAUUGGUCAAUGGGCGCGAGCCUGAACCAGCCAAGUAGCGUGCAAGGACGACUGCCCUAUGGGUUGUAAACUGCUUUUAUCAGGGAAUAAAGUGAGGCACGCGUGCCUUUUUGUAUGUACCUGAUGAAUAAGGACCGGCUAAUUCCGUGCCAGCAGCCGC
This 510-nucleotide ribosomal RNA is filed under the name uncultured bacterium. RNAcentral describes it as "bacterial SSU rRNA". It matches the Rfam family "Bacterial small subunit ribosomal RNA", at positions 19 to 518 of the family's 1533-position model. The record is from RNAcentral.